GGACUCGCGGCCUAUCAGCUUGUUGGUGAGGUAAUGGCUCACCAAGGCGACGACGGGUAGCCGGCCUGAGAGGGUGACCGGCCACACUGGGACUGAGACACGGCCCAGACUCCUACGGGAGGCAGCAGUGGGGAAUAUUGCACAAUGGGCGAAAGCCUGAUGCAGCAACGCCGCGUGAGGGAUGACGGCCUUCGGGUUGUAAACCUCUUUUAGUAGGGAAGAAGCGAAAGUGACGGUACCUGCAGAAAAAGCACCGGCUAACUACGUGCCAGCAGCCGCGGUAAUACGUAGGGUGCAAGCGUUGUCCGGAAUUAUUGGGCGUAAAGAGCUCGUAGGCGGUUUGUCGCGUCUGCUGUGAAAUCCCGAGGCUCAACCUCGGGCUUGCAGUGGGUACGGGCAGACUAGAGUGCGGUAGGGGAGAUUGGAAUUCCUGGUGUAGCGGUGGAAUGCGCAGAUAUCAGGAGGAACACCGAUGGCGAAGGCAGAUCUCUGGGCCGUAACUGACGCUGAGGAGCGAAAGCGUGGGGAGCGAACAGGAUUAGAUACCCUGGUAGUCCACGCCGUAAACGUUGGGCGCUAGAUGUAGGGACCUUUC
This 595-nucleotide ribosomal RNA is filed under the name Curtobacterium sp. RNAcentral describes it as "bacterial SSU rRNA". It matches the Rfam family "Bacterial small subunit ribosomal RNA", at positions 227 to 834 of the family's 1533-position model. The record is from RNAcentral. Lineage: Bacteria; Bacillati; Actinomycetota; Actinomycetes; Micrococcales; Microbacteriaceae.